RNAcentral lists this ribosomal RNA (564 nucleotides) under uncultured Septoglomus. RNAcentral's name for it is "SSU rRNA". It matches the Rfam family "Eukaryotic small subunit ribosomal RNA", at positions 548 to 1114 of the family's 1831-position model. Lineage: Eukaryota; Fungi; Glomeromycota; Glomeromycetes; Glomerales; Glomeraceae. The record is from RNAcentral.
UUGGAGGGCAAGUCUGGUGCCAGCAGCCGCGGUAAUUCCAGCUCCAAUAGCGUAUAUUAAAGUUGUUGCAGUUAAAAAGCUCGUAGUUGAAUUUCGGGAUCAAGGGAUUGGUCAUGCCUCGGUAUGCACUGGUCUUAUUGGUUCUCACCUUCUAAAGAACCAUGAUGUCAUUCAUUUGAUGUUAUGGGGAAUUAGGACUGUUACCUUGAAAAAAUUAGAGUGUUUAAAGCAAGCUUACGCUUGAAUACAUUAGCAUGGAAUAAUGAAAUAGGACAUCAGAUUCUAUUUUGUUGGUUUCUAGGAUCGAUGUAAUGAUUAAUAGGGAUAGUUGGGGGCAUUAGUAUUCAAUUGUCAGAGGUGAAAUUCUUGGAUUUAUUGAAGACUAACUACUGCGAAAGCAUUUGCCAAGGAUGUUUUCAUUAAUCAAGAACGAAAGUUAGGGGAUCGAAGACGAUCAGAUACCGUCGUAGUCUUAACCAUAAACUAUGCCGACUAGGGAUCGGAUGAUGUUAAUUUUUUAAUGACUCAUUCGGCACCUUACGGGAAACCAAAGUGUUUGGGUUC